This 73-nucleotide transfer RNA is filed under the name Bdellovibrionota bacterium. RNAcentral describes it as "tRNA-Phe". It matches the Rfam family "tRNA". From Rfam's summary of the family: Transfer RNA (tRNA) molecules are approximately 80 nucleotides in length. Their secondary structure includes four short double-helical elements and three loops (D, anti-codon, and T loops). Lineage: Bacteria; Pseudomonadati; Bdellovibrionota. RNAcentral also lists the same sequence under 1 other name. The record is from RNAcentral.
GGCUUGGUAGCUCAGUCGGUAGAGCAGCGCCCUGAAAAGGCGUGUGUCGACGGUUCGAUUCCGCCCCAAGCCA